UCUGCGUUCCCAGUACUGGCUCACAGAAUCUGGUUGAAUCACCAAAAUGUGAAGACAAGCCUUCAGUUCCCUUCUUGACCACCAGCAUGGAACUAAACAAUUAAACCUGUCAGAAAAAAAAAAGCUGCUGUAUUUUAAGGUACAGUUUCAUGCAUUGUUUUACUUUCUCUCUGGCUACUUAUAGGAGCUUGAAAAAAUAAAAAGGCCAGGAAAUAUGUACCCUGGGAGCCA
Molecule: long non-coding RNA, 231 nt
Filed under: Homo sapiens (human)
Lineage: Eukaryota; Metazoa; Chordata; Mammalia; Primates; Hominidae
Description: HSALNT0407169
Source: RNAcentral